Molecule: ribosomal RNA, 373 nt
Filed under: uncultured eukaryote
Lineage: Eukaryota
Description: partial 18S ribosomal RNA
Rfam family: Eukaryotic small subunit ribosomal RNA
Source: RNAcentral
CAAUAGCGUAUAUUUAAGUUGUUGCAGUUAAAAAGCUCGUAGUUGGAUUUCUGCUGAUCGCUGUCGGUCUGCCGUCAGGUGUGUACUGGCAGUGUUUGGCAUCUAUUCGAGAUUGGGUGUCCACUUGAUUGUGUGCACUCGAUGUCGGAGCAAUACUUUGAGAAAAUUAGAGUGUUCCACGCAGGCGCGUGCCUUGAAUACUGCAGCAUGGGAUAUUGGAAGGCCGAUUGAGCUUUCUUGUUGGUUCUCGGUUUGAUCGGAAUGAUUAAUAGGGAUAGUUGGGGGCAUUCGUAUUCAACUGUCAGAGGUGAAAUUCUUGGAUUUGUUGAAGACGGACUACUGCGAAAGCAUCUGCCAUAGAUGUUCUCAUUGA